Molecule: ribosomal RNA, 301 nt
Filed under: uncultured bacterium
Lineage: Bacteria
Description: partial 16S ribosomal RNA
Rfam family: Bacterial small subunit ribosomal RNA
Source: RNAcentral
CAGCCGCCGCGGGAAUACAGAGGGUGCAAGCGUUAAUCGGAUUUACUGGGCGUAAAGGGCGCGUAGGUGGUUAUGUAAGUGAGAUGUGAAAUCCCCGGGCUCAACCUGGGAACUGCAUCUUAUACUGCGUAGCUGGAGUGCAGUAGAGGGUAGUGGAAUUUCCGGUGUAGCGGUGAAAUGCGUAGAUAUCGGAAGGAACACCAGUGGCGAAGGCGGCUACCUGGACUGACACUGACACUGAGGCGCGAAAGCGUGGGGAGCAAACAGGAUUAGAUACCCCUGUAGUCCCUGUCUCUUAUAC